Biomphalaria pfeifferi is the source of this 348-nucleotide non-coding RNA. Lineage: Eukaryota; Metazoa; Mollusca; Gastropoda; Planorbidae. The record is from the annotation of a GenBank genome assembly.
AGUGCCCCAAACCCCCCCCCCCCCCCGAAAAAUAUUCCUGGCUACGACCAUGAUACAUAAUAUAAACGUGUUGUUGUAAAAUAGUAUUUUCUUUUAUUUUCUUGUUUCUUUACUAAGAUUCUAAACUAUUUAUUGUUUGACUUUGCUAAAGUUUGAAAAAAAAAUCUGACUUCUUGUAUCUACUCAACUGUGAGCACUAGAAGUUUUUCUAAUGAUGUUAUUUUAAGUAGUGCUUGAAUGGUAUUUCACAGUUUUUAAUAAACCUUUUAUGAAACAAGAUUCAAAACUCUUUUAUUAAAUGACUUGAGUGUUCAUUUUUAAUAAACACAAAUGAAAAAAAACAAAUAA